Lachnoclostridium sp. YL32 is the source of this 82-nucleotide non-coding RNA. NCBI's taxonomy places the organism in Bacteria, Bacillati, Bacillota, Clostridia, Lachnospirales, Lachnospiraceae. The record is from Rfam.
UUGAUGAAUUCGGGAGAGAUUACCGUUGGGUAACGCCGAAGGGGAUGCGCAAACUCUCAGGCAAAAGAAUCGAAUUCGGACG